Long non-coding RNA from Canis lupus familiaris (dog), 5710 nucleotides. RefSeq lists it as uncharacterized. The record is from RefSeq and is a predicted model, not a curated record. NCBI's taxonomy places the organism in Eukaryota, Metazoa, Chordata, Mammalia, Carnivora, Canidae. The transcript has 5 exons.
AAAACUGAGAGCAGGAACUGAACUGAGAGUGUGGCACCGCACUGAGGUGUCCCUGGAUGAACAGCAAUGUUCCCUAGUGAGUCAAGUGCUCCAUAAAUCUCAACAUCAUGACAUUGUGCUGGUGCCCUUGUGGGUGCCACCGCCACUACUGCUGUCAUUAACAAUGACGUGUCAGCUAAUCGUGCAUGUUCUGAUGCAUUCCUCAUAGUCUCUUUCCAAGAAACAUGAGGAAGAGGUCUGAUUCCUGGUCUUCCCAACGCAACGUAUGAACCUCUCUGACACAGAGCCUCCUCAUCUGCGCAAUGUAGGUGAUGGUCCUGCAUGAGGACAACAGGAGGCCGCGCGCACUGAAUGCCUGGUGGGAAACCUGCUCACUCCGGGCCAGCUUUCUCCCCUGCUCUCAGACCAAUACAAAUUUCAUCAACAGCUGGUAGCAGCUGAGAACAGCAUUUGAGAACAAUCGUCUGGGGAUCAAUAUUUUUCAAAGGUGAAAAAUGCAUAGCUCUUUUAUAAAGGAAGAUAUUCUUGCAAGACCAAGAAUACCUCCACAGACCCCCACAGCAGCAGGCGUAGGGACUGCAUUUUCAAGAUACCUACUUAUUCCACAGAAAUGCUUUUCAUUGUGAGUUUCACUGCAAAAGUUUAGUCUCUAUAAUUGGAAAUAUGUAUAUUUUUAGAUUAUCAUCUAAGUGAAAAUGCAAAAUUUUUAAGUGUUGGUAGAACUGGCAGAUUUCUGAGACUAUCUCUGAGCACUUGGUUUGAGAAGCAGGUCUGGACAUCCAUAAACCAACUGUUCUGUUUCUCACGGAAGGAAAGCUUAAAUUACAGCCCGUGGAAUCGAGAGGAAUCCCACAGAGAUCUGGGUGAGGAGCUCCCUGAGGAAUACUAGUAAUUCUGACACCACAGCACCACCCUAGGGGUGCAUGAAGAAACAUCAAAAUGAGAGGUGGUUUCCUGAGCUGGAUCAGACCAUAGCCCUGGCCACAGGCACAGCCCAGACAUCAGAAACCCCCGGGGCCACCGGGCUCCAUGCUGCUGCACCUGGCCUGCCCCCAGCUUUCGCCUCCACAGCCUGGGACCCGAGAGGGUAUGGCGGGAGGGACAAGGUAAAAGUGCUGAUGCUCCCGACUUGGUGAAGCUCAUCAUGACGACUUGGUGAAGCUCAUCAUGACGACUUGGUGAAGCUCAUCAUGACGAUGAGAGCUCUCAAGGCUUACUGUGUGACCACCCUGACAGCCGCUCCCGCACUCCCAGAAGUGCUACCUCAGGGACAGGAGUCACAGAACUCACAAGCAGAUCUGUCUUCAGCCCACAAAGACAGAAGGAUUAAGGGCUGAAAAGAAAAAGGCUCUGGACUAUUGGAUCAAAGAUGAGUCGCAAUGAAGUCUUGAAGCCUCUCCUCUCUAGAAACCCCUUCAGUCAGAGCCACCAGAGUCAAAGGCAGAUUGAGAGCUUUUCCUCCAGAGGCAGGGGGCCAGACAAAAGGCCUCAGGCCACCCACCCGCAAGCCCCACAGCCCGCAUGAAGCUGCUGGGCUGUUUUAUCCCUGGGCACUAUAGGCAGUAGCCACAGCCUCCUGGCUUUCCCAGGUUCCAAAAAACUACUGAAAUUUGGAAAAAACCAAUGGUGAACUUCAAAAUAUAGAAACUUGCAAAAGUGGAAGCAACACACACUCCAUUAAACUCUGCAAACUUUCACGUUAUGUGAGCUGGUCCCCCACAGCUGACACUGUGGCUAGAUAACAUUUCCCGCGGCAUACGGGAGCACUGGGAUAGGCUUCAUAUGGCACAGGGGGGAGCCGCACAGCUUGUCCCCUUCCCGGGGCUAGCUGACCUGGUGCCCUCUGUCCCCCCAGACCUUCUUCUCCCUCCGGCCCCUUCCCUCCCCACCUUCUCCCAUUUCACCCUGGCGGUCGCUGUCCUGUGGACCUGAAACAGACGCCUGGAGUCUCCCAGCACCUGGGCCAGUGGCUCGGCUCCUCCCGCCUCCCCUGCCUCCUUGAGGAAUCCCAGUGGCUGCCCUGCCUGGGGCCAACAGAGCCAGGCCCUGACCGCUGUGGUCUAGCCCGGUGGCCAGGGACAGACCCCAGGCUUGCCCAGGCCAGGCUAGCACGGGUGGAAUCUUCACUGAGGCAGGAACCAGAGGCAGGAUUGGAUAGAACACAGGCUCCGCAGCCCAGCAGAUUCGGAGUCAAUUUACUUUGUCUCUUUGAGCCUCAAUUUCCUCACAUGUAAAAUGAUACCCAUAAUUCAUAAAGUCAAGAAUGAAUUAUUAUCCCCAUCAUAACAGCCUCCUUCACAGGGCACAGAGGGUGCGGUGCGGCCUGAGAUGGGACAGUGCGUGUGGGGCUUCCACCCUACCUACCACCAACAGCUGCCGCUCUCACUGAGCAUUUACUGUAUUCCAGGCAGUGUGCACAUUACUAAGCAUCAGGUAUUAUUUUGGUGAACUCCUUCAGCAACUCCAGAGGUCCAAUUUAUCAUCCCUGUGUUGUUGAGGAAAACACCGUAGCUCAGAAACGUUACUGUGCCCAGGAUCGCACCAAGCUGCGAGUGCAGCACGGACAGGGCUAACCCUGACCCCACACAGUCUGUUUACCAAUCAUUCUGCAGCGGGCAGUCCGGCAGAAUGUUAACCUAAGAACCAGAAAACCUAAGUUUGUUUCUCUAAGUAUGUGUAAGGUUUUGAACAGUGCUGAGGCCUCCCUGGGCCUGUCCCUUUGUGUGUGAGUGGGAAUAACAAGAGCCGCCCGGCUGACAGCACAGAACAGCUGCACAGAACAGCACCUGCACAGAUCAAGCUAGAUGCUGGACAUCAGCACUGUGUGGACCACAGAACACUCAGCAAGUGCGUGAGAAUAAACCUCUUGCAACUCAAGCCGGCUCAGUGGCUGUCCAAACUCUACUUGAAUACUUCUAAGAACACAGAGCUCACUACUUCUUUUAGCAGUUGUUAUGGUUAGAAAGUUUUUCCUUUUGCAAGGUCUACAGGGAGUUACUUGCCUGUUACUAGCCCACUGGCCCGGGCCAGGUCCUCCAAUGCCCUGUCAGUUGGAAAAACUCACUGCAGUAUCACAUGCUGGCUGCUAAAGACCCCAAAAGCUGUGUCCCCGCUCUUGUUUUCCGGCCCUGAGCUCCUCAUCCUGACACAGAAGGAAGCAGUUGGUCUAUACUGGCUCCCCUCCUGCUCCCAGUCCUCUCCCCGUCCCUGCUUCUCAGACUCCUGGGCCAGGAGGAGAUGAUCUGAAUCAAGGAAGGAUGUGGAGGAUGCCAGAGAUGCUGCUGGCUGCUCCGACCACUCAUGCUUCCUGAGGUCCCCAUCCUCUGCCAACCCUGCCAUACUGGCACCUGGGCUCUGGGGGCAGGACCACAUGCACCUUGUAGCUCUUGCCUUGCAUCCUGCCUCCCCCCAUCAUGCGCCAUGCCAGCCGACUCCUGGGCCUAUACCUUAAACGACUCCAGGAAUCCUCCAUGGCCUCCAUUCUCAAACUUGUCCUCUUCAGGGGCCCAGUCCCAGCAUAGCCUGCGUGUGGGUGUGAAGCUCAUCAUGGAGGUUGUCCAGCAGGGCGGCCCGCGUCCGGUCCUGAAAGAAAAGAGGGUAGGGAUUACAGAGCUGGCACAGAGGACAGAGAUGUGCCCUCUCCCGGGGGGCUUCCAACACCUAACCAAUAGCAUCCCUGUGACAGUGUGGACCUGAGGCCUCACUGGGUUCCAUGCUCACAAAUACUGCGGUUAGCAAUAAAGCUCUGUGGCCUCUGCUGUCUUCCCCUCCCCUUCUCCUUGGGCCAUCCCAUGGCUCUACCCUGACUCCCAGUUCAGAUCUCCACCUCAAGCUCCACAGCCCUACACCCACCUCUUCUCCAUCCAGACAGUGGGCCAGGGCCAUGCAUACAAUGUCCAGGGGGCACCAUUCACACACUCCAGCACUAGCCCUGCAGCAGCCCUUGCAGGCCCCUCCAGGUCAGCAGAUCCUAAUAGACUUCCUUUCCCAAUGGCCCCCACGACAGUGAAGAGUCAUCCCUUACAAGCAAGCUGUUAUCAUCUGCCCUAGACUCUUGUAAAAGCUUCCAGCCUGCCACCUUUCCUGCCCUCCUCCAUAGGGAUCUGUCCUUCUCAUCAACACCAGAGUAAUCUAAUAUACAAAGCAAACCAACACUCUAAGUACUUAAUUAGCACCUCAUCACCUCUUGAGUUCAAAGCCCUUCCUGACCUGCCCCCAACCACACCUCCAGCGGAGUCUCCACCCACCCCCCACAUGAGUCCUUCUCUCAGGCCAUGUCAAAACCCUCUGGGGCUCCCUCAAAAGUCAUGCUCUGAUCUGCCUGGCAAUGCUUAUGCUGUUUUCCAUGCCUGGAAUAACCCUCCCCAAUCUUUCCUCCUGGCAAAAGGCUCAUCAAAUAUCUAGAUUCAGCAGCCCAAGGGCCACCUCCUCAGAGAAGCCCUUUCUGAGCACACCCCUGUUCUACAUGGGCAGAAGUGGUCAUAGCCCCCAUGCUGGCCUCCAUCAUGGCCAAGUGCCCACACUGUGCCACGUUUGUCUCUUAAGUAAUGGCUUCUCCCCAGCAGUCCAAAACCUCUGGAAGACAGAAACUGUGUCUCCACACACAGCAGGUGCUCAAUAAAUGACCAGCAUACAAGACUGACUGACUGACUAACUAACUAACUAAAUAAAUAAAUAAAUAACUGACCGGCAAAUGGUCGGCCAGGCCUAAAGUUUGGCUGGAGUUUCCACAAGAAGAAAGAGUUCCUCUAUCAACACAGGGCUGAAGAAAGCUCAGAGGGGUGGGCAAAGACAGUGCUCCUCCCCUAAAGCAGCCCCCAGGAACAGACCCCAGGAGAGGCUGGAUAACAAGCAGCCGGGAAGGUAGCAGGAAGACUUCCAAAAACAGAACUCUCACCUCCAGCUUCGCAAACUUGUCUGACUUGCAGCAGGCGUUCUCUGCGUUGGUGAGCUUGGUAAGCAGGAACUCCCUGAACUCUGGGCCCUAGAACAGACGAGAAGCUCUGGGAUGCUCCCAGCCCAGCUGUCCCCAAAUGGGCUUUCAGCCACAGUAACAGGAAAGCAGAACGGGGCGCCUGGGGAGGGCCCCUACAAGGUCCCCUUCUGACUUUUGGUCACUUUCUAGCCCAGACCAGGACCACCUGGUAAGAUGCCUCCUGGUGGAAACCAGCUGUCCCGUUGCUGGGAAGUCAACCCCCAACACACGGUUUCUGUGACAGGAGGGAAUUCUUGUCUGAGGCUCCUCAGAUGGAGGCAUAAGUACAAAACUCUCUUCUAGCAGAAAGACAACCCCAGAGGCAAACGCUCUGACAGAGGGUGCUGUACUGGGCUGGACGGGCAACACGAGGAGGUGGAGAAGACCCCGGAAUGCAAAUACGAGGCUCCCGUGAGCCAUUACCACCAGCAGGGCCACCUUGCUGGAAGUGGGGCUACAGCGCACAAAGCUAUCUACUGUCUCUGCUGCAUUCCUGGAGGCCAGAAAUCAGUGUGGCAAGAUGACUGGACCUAGGGCCCAACUUCUUACUGCUAUGCAAGUGCCCAGGGGGCCUCAUGUGACUGGAUAUUCAGACCAUGAAAAAGGCCAAGUGGGCAGCCCCGGUGGCGCAGCGGUUUAGUGCCACCUGCAGCCCGGGGCGUGAUCCUGGAGACCCUGGAUCAAGUCCCACGUCAGGCUCUCUGCAUGGAGCCUGCUUCUCCCUCUGCCUGUGUC